RNAcentral lists this ribosomal RNA (254 nucleotides) under uncultured bacterium. RNAcentral describes it as "partial 16S ribosomal RNA". It matches the Rfam family "Bacterial small subunit ribosomal RNA", at positions 524 to 776 of the family's 1533-position model. The record is from RNAcentral.
UACGUAGGGGGCGAGCGUUGUCCGAAGUUACUGGGCGUAAAGCGCGCGUAGGCGGUUAUUUAAGUCUGGGGUGAAAGGUUCAGCGCUCAACGUGAACAUUGCCUUGGAUACUGGAUGACUUGAGUCUGACAGAGGGAAACGGAAUUCCUGGUGUAGCGGUGAAAUGCGUAGAUAUCAGGAGGAACACCGGUGGCGAAGGCGGUUUCCUGGGUUAAGACUGACGCUGAGGUGCGAAAGCGUGGGGAGCGAACGGG